This 460-nucleotide ribosomal RNA is filed under the name uncultured bacterium. RNAcentral describes it as "partial 16S ribosomal RNA". It matches the Rfam family "Bacterial small subunit ribosomal RNA", at positions 338 to 795 of the family's 1533-position model. The record is from RNAcentral.
CCUACGGGAGGCAGCAGUGAGGAAUAUUGGUCAAUGGGCGGGAGCCUGAACCAGCCAAGUCGCGUGAGGGAAGACGGUCCUAUGGAUUGUAAACCUCUUUAGGCGGGGAGCAAUGCCGGGCACGCGUGCCUGGAGGGAGAGUACCCGCAGAAUAAGCAUCGGCAAACUCCGUGCCAGCAGCCGCGGUAAUACGGGGGAUGCGAGCGUUACCCGGUUUUAUUGGGUUUAAAGGGUGCGUAGGCGGAGUUUUAAGUCAGCGGUAAAAUGUCCGGGUCCAACCCGGGCCGGCCGUUGAAACUGGGGAUCUAGAGAGGACGUGAAGUAGGCGGAAUGUGUGGUGUAGCGGUGAAAUGCAUAGAUAUCACACAGAACUCCGAUUGCGAAGGCAGCGUACCGGCGCCCGACUGACGCUGAGGCACGAAAGCGUGGGGAUCGAACAGGAUUAGAUACCCUUGUAGUC